Molecule: ribosomal RNA, 415 nt
Filed under: uncultured microorganism
Description: bacterial SSU rRNA
Rfam family: Archaeal small subunit ribosomal RNA
Source: RNAcentral
GCGCAGCAGGCGCGAAAACUUCGCAAUGCGCGAAAGCGCGACGAGGGGAUUCCAAGUGCAUGCACUAAGUGUAUGCUUUUCGUGAGUUUAAAACGCUCACGGAAUAAGGGCUGGGUAAGACUGGUGCCAGCCGCCGCGGUAAUACCAGCGGCCCUAGUGGUGAUCGUUAUUAUUGGGCCUAAAGCGUCCGUAGCCGGUCCGGUAAAUCUCUGGGUAAAUCGUUGGGCUUAACUCAGCGAAUUCUGGGGAGGCUGCUGGACUUGGGGACCGGGAGAGGUCGGAGGUACUCCAGGGGUAGGGGUGAAAAUCCUGUAAUCCUUGGGGGACCACCGGUGGCGAAGGCGUCCGACCAGAACGGGUCCGACGGUAAGGGACGAAGCCCUGGGGCGCGAACCGGAUUAGAUACCCGCGUAGU